This 74-nucleotide transfer RNA is filed under the name Candidatus Woesearchaeota archaeon. RNAcentral's name for it is "tRNA-Pro". It matches the Rfam family "tRNA". From Rfam's summary of the family: Transfer RNA (tRNA) molecules are approximately 80 nucleotides in length. Lineage: Archaea; Nanobdellati; Candidatus Woesearchaeota. The record is from RNAcentral.
GGGGUUAUGGGGUAACUUGGUUAGCCUCCGAGGUUUGGGACCUUGAGAUCCCGGUUCAAAUCCGGGUAACCCCA